UACGUAGGGUGCAAGCGUUAAUCGGAUUUACUGGGCGGAAAGCGCGCGUAGGUGGCCAAUUAAGUCAAAUGUGAAAUCCCCGAGCUUAACUUGGGAAUUGCAUUCGAUACUGGUUGGCUAGAGUAUGGGAGAGGAUGGUAGAAUUCCAGGUGUAGCGGUGAAAUGCGUAGAGAUCUGGAGGAAUACCGAUGGCGAAGGCAGCCAUCUGGCCUAAUACUGACACUGAGGUGCGAAAGCAUGGGGAGCAAACAGG
Molecule: ribosomal RNA, 253 nt
Filed under: uncultured bacterium
Lineage: Bacteria
Description: partial 16S ribosomal RNA
Rfam family: Bacterial small subunit ribosomal RNA
Source: RNAcentral